Molecule: ribosomal RNA, 253 nt
Filed under: uncultured bacterium
Lineage: Bacteria
Description: partial 16S ribosomal RNA
Rfam family: Bacterial small subunit ribosomal RNA
Source: RNAcentral
UACGGAGGGGACUAGCGUUGUUCGGAAUUACUGGGCGUAAAGCGCACGUAGGCGGAUUUGUAAGUCAGGGGUGAAAUCCCGGGGCUCAACCUCGGAACUGCGUCUGAAACUACUCGACUAGAGUACUGGAGAGGGUAACGGAAUUCACGGUGUAGCAGUGAAAUGCGUAGAUAUCGUGAGGAACACCAGAGGCGAAGGCGGUUACCUGGACAGUUACUGACGCUCAGGCACGAAAGCAUGGGGAGCAAAAGGG